Molecule: ribosomal RNA, 383 nt
Filed under: uncultured Clostridium sp.
Lineage: Bacteria; Bacillati; Bacillota; Clostridia; Eubacteriales; Clostridiaceae
Description: bacterial SSU rRNA
Rfam family: Bacterial small subunit ribosomal RNA
Source: RNAcentral
UGGGGGAUAUUGCGCAAUGGGGGAAACCCUGACGCAGCAACGCCGCGUGAAGGAAGACGGUUUUCGGAUUGUAAACUUCUUUUGUUAAGGACGAUAAUGACGGUACUUAACGAAUAAGCUCCGGCUAACUACGUGCCAGCAGCCGCGGUAAUACGUAGGGAGCAAGCGUUAUCCGGAUUUACUGGGUGUAAAGGGUGCGUAGGCGGCUUUGCAAGUCAGAUGUGAAAAUUAUGGGCUCAACCCAUAACCUGCAUUUGAAACUGCAGAGCUUGAGUGAAGUAGAGGCAGGCGGAAUUCCCUGUGUAGCGGUGAAAUGCGUAGAGAUAGGGAGGAACACCAGUGGCGAAGGCGGCCUGCUGGGCUUUAACUGACGCUGAGGCACG